GACGAACGCUGGCGGCGUGCUUAACACAUGCAAGUCGAGCGGAAAGGCCCUUCGGGGUACUCGAGCGGCGAACGGGUGAGUAACACGUGAGUAAUCUGCCCUUGGCUUUGGGAUAACUACCGGAAACGGUGGCUAAUACCGGAUACGACAACCGCAUGCAUGUGCUGGUUGUGGAAAGUUUUUUCGGCCAGGGAUGUGCUCGCGGCCUAUCAGCUUGUUGGUGGGGUAAUGGCCUACCAAGGCUUCGACGGGUAGCCGGCCUGAGAGGGUGACCGGCCACACUGGGACUGAGACACGGCCCAGACUCCUACGGGAGGCAGCAGUGGGGAAUAUUGCACAAUGGGCGCAAGCCUGAUGCAGCGACGCCGCGUGAGGGAUGACGGCCUUCGGGUUGUAAACCUCUUUCAGCACAGACGAAGCGCAAGUGACGGUACCUGCAGAAGAAGCACCGGCCAACUACGUGCCAGCAGCCGCAGUAACAC
Molecule: ribosomal RNA, 482 nt
Filed under: uncultured bacterium
Lineage: Bacteria
Description: bacterial SSU rRNA
Rfam family: Bacterial small subunit ribosomal RNA
Source: RNAcentral